RNAcentral lists this long non-coding RNA (22050 nucleotides) under Ananas comosus (pineapple). RNAcentral's name for it is "long non-coding RNA (ACOM_LNC026665)". The record is from RNAcentral. Lineage: Eukaryota; Viridiplantae; Streptophyta; Magnoliopsida; Poales; Bromeliaceae.
AAAUAUAAAAGUCAAUCAAUCAUUUGUUUGUUUAUUUAUUUUGUUUUCAAAAUAUAUUGCCAUACAAUUUUGCCUUAUAUUUUUGAAACUCACUCUGCUCUUUUAACUUUUCUUGCUUUUUUUUUUUCCAAAUUAUUUAGAAUACUAAUAAUUGUUUGUUUUUAUAGAAGCUGUUCGCCGCAACGCGCGGGUCCUUCACUAGUUAAUUAGAAAAUAGAAAAAAGUAAAAUAAGGCUCCAAAAUAGACCCAUUAAAAGUUUCUAUCAUGUUGCUUUUAACUUUUUUAUAUUAUUUCUAGAUGUUCUUUACUGCUAUUUUCAACUGGUAUUUUAUAACAGGGCUACUAGUAAUGCCUCGGAAGGAAAAAGAAUAAAAUUAGCACAGUAUAAAAGACUAAAGAAAAAUUCAAAAAGUGCUUUUGUAGUAUAGUAUAAUUAGCUCAUUCUUAAUUAUGUACUAGUGAAGGUCCGCGCUUCGCGGCGGAAAAUUUAUGCAGUUUCUAAAAUUUUUUGAACAAACUAAUAUAUUCCUAUGUUUCAGUUGUUAGCAUUCAUUUUUUUUACUUUUUUUAAUUUUCAAAUCUAAUUUUAAAUUUUAAACUUCAAAAAAUUAAAAAGAGAGACAAAGUAAAAGAAUUAUUUAAAUAGAGAGGAAUAAAAAAUUAUAUAAUAUAUAACUAAUUAUUAAUAAAUUUAAUUAAUUAAUUAAUUUUAUAGAGUUUAGAGAUUUAAAAUUUUAAACUUUGAGCUUAAAAUUGAAUAUAUAUUAUAAGUUAACAUUAAAAUUUAAAAGUUAAAAAUAAAAUUUAAAAUUUAAAAUUUAAAAUUUUAAAAUUCUCUCUCUCUCUCCCUCUCUCUCUUCCUCUCCCUCUCUCACUCUUUCUCUCUCUGGCUCCAUCUCUCACUCUGUCUCUCUCUCCUUCUCUCUCUCCCUCUCUUUCUCUCUCUCUCUCUCACUCACUUUCUCUGUUUCUCUCUCUCCCCGCAUACAUGCCAGCCCCCCUGCCUCUCUCUCUCUUUUUCCCUCUCUUCCUCUCCUCACCUGUAAUACACUGGACUUUCGCAAAUUGCAGAGUUCAAGUGGGUGGAAUGAAGUGUGGAAUUAUUCUACAUGUUCUAAUUGACUUGGACAAGUUUUUGAACAAGUUAGAGGAUGAUUGGAAUGCUAAAAGUGAGAAAAUGCAUUGAACUGGCGAAAUCAGCCUUUUUCUGCUUGCUGUUCCGGUACAGNGAUCACUAUGGAUUUCAUCGUUGGAUUACCUCGCUCACAGGCAGGUCACGAUGCCAUUUGGGUAAUUGUAGACAGAUUGACCAAAUCUGCCCACUUUAUUCCAAUCCACAAAACUUGGUCAGAAGAGAAACUCGUACAAGUAUACCUUGAUGAAAUUGUGCGAUUACAUGGAGUACCAGCCUCUAUUGUUUCAGACCGAGACACCCGAUUCGUUUCACAUUUCUGGAAGAGCUUACAGGAGGCUAUGGGUACCCGACUGGAUUUUAGUACUGCUUUCCACCCCCAGAGUGAUGGGCAGUCUGAGCGUACCAUCCAGACUCUUGAGGAUAUGUUGCGGGCCUGUGUGAUUGAUUACCAGGGCAGUUGGCCACAAUUCUUACCGAUGGCUGAAUUUGCUUAUAACAAUAGUUAUCAAGCAAGUAUUCAGAUGGCACCUUUUGAAGCCCUUUAUGGUAGAAAGUGCAGAUCAACACUUCAUUGGAGCGAAGUGGGAGAGAGAUUAGUUUUGGGUCCAGAUGUACUACAAGAGGCUGAAGCUAAAGUUCGACUUGCGCGAGAACAUCUACUGACAGCACAAAGUCGACAAAAGAGCUAUGCGGAUAAACGUCGGCGAGAACUGGAAUUUCAAGUUGGCGAUCAUGUAUUCCUAAAGGUUUCCCCGACGAAAGGAGUUAAGAGAUUUGGCAUUCGAGGAAAGUUGAGUCCUCGGUUCAUUGGACCCUACGAGGUGUUGGAGCGGAUUGGUCCUGUAGCCUAUCGGCUGGCUUUGCCGCCAAGCCUAUCGGGAGUGCAUAAUGUAUUUCAUGUAUCGACACUUCGAAAGUAUAUUUUUGAUCCAACUCACAUAUUGGACAGUACUCCAGUGGAUUUACGAGAGGAUUUGAGCUUUGAGGAGCAUCCAGUGAGAAUACUAGCUCGAGAAGUGAAAAGGCUUCGAAAUCGUGAGAUACCCUAUGUGAAGAUCCUUUGGGGCAAUCACGAUGAACGGGAAGCCACUUGGGAACUGGAGAGUGCAAUGCAAGAGCAUUAUCCCUAUCUAUUCUCGAUGGAAUCGUGAGGUAAGUGUUUACAAGUUUCGCGGACGAAACUUCUUUUUAGGAGGGGUGAAUGUAAUACACUGGACUUUCGCAAAUUGCAGAGUUCAAGUGGGUGAAAUGAAGUGUGGAAUUAUUCUACAUGUUCUAAUUGACUUGGACAAGUUUUUGAACAAGUUAGAGGAUGAUUGGAAUGCUAAAAGUGAGAAAAUGCAUUGAACUGGCGAAAUCAGCCUUUUUCUGCUUGCUGUACCGGUACAGCCAUCACCUUGUACCGGAACAAGUUGGCAGAUUCGUGGCAGCAAGGUUAGUUUGGUAAUUUCACAUCUUGUUCUCAGCUAUUUGAUCCCAGCACGACUCCUGGAGCUUGCUGGAGUGUGCUAGAGCUCAGAGGAGCUGCCUUACACCUUCCUCACUCUCUCUCUUUAGGGUUUUUUCUCUCUCUACAAAGAAUUCGCCGAUUUCGCUCGUUUUCGUCGCAACGUUGGUUCUUCGCUGUUCGCAUGUGUCGCAGAGCUUACGUGGACGCGUGAGAGAGUAUUUUGGAGAGCUUUUCGCAGCUCUGGACCAGUGGGUUGCUGGUUGGAAACUUGAAAGGUAAACGACUUGAUGUUUUUUUCGUUAUCGGCAUUCUAUUCGUCGAUUUGAGUAUUGAGUUUGAGUUUUUGCUUCUUACCGAUGUAAACUGAGAAUUCAGCUAUUAUAAAUGAGUUAAUUAGCUGUGAAUUAACCUUCUUAGACCAGGGAUAAGCUACUUUGAAGCUUAAUUGGAAUAUUUAGCUAUUUAUGAAGCUAAAUUGGAACGAAAUGCAAUUGUUUGAGCGAAUUGAUGCAAAUUGGGGAUUUUUCUUCGCAGCAGGUCUUGGAGCUUCGUUGAGCUGAAUUCGUACUCUUAGAAGCUGAUUUGGAAGCUGCUCUAAUCAAGGGUAAGCAGGGAAUUCCGUUAGAAAGUCAAUUUCGCAAGAAUUGAACUAUAUAAGCUCAUAUACAAGUAUUUUGACGCCGUUUCGAUGUUGUUCGCAGCGAGAGUGCGAUUGAGCCUUGGAUCGUGUUAGUUGACUUGGGAGAGCUCUUGGAGACUCUUCUUGAGGUAUUUAUUGAGCCAAAACAGGGAUUUAAGCUAUUCCUAUGUACUAAGUGCAAUUGCGCCGAACUUGGACAUUUCGAUCGUAGUUUUGAUACGAUAUUUAUGCUUCGUGUUCAGCAGGAUUGUGACCUAGUGGAGCUGAUCCUUCGGACCCCUUGGACUGAUUUGGAGCCUAGUUCUAGGUGGGUCGGACCUAACCAGAGCAAGUGAAACUCCCCUAUGUUCUAUAUGUAUUAUAGAAAUGGUCUUAUUAUGUGCUUAUGUGAUUGAUAAAGGGCUUGACAUGCGUCAUCAUAAUGUUGAACAUAUUCGAAAUGAAGUCUCUAUAAAGUAGAGAACACUUAUACAUGAAAGUAUUUACAUUUAUAUUCAAUUCAGUUGAAUGACUUAUGAACAAGUGUAGGAUGCACUUUAAAGUAGAGAACAAUGACAUUCUCUUGACUCUAACGUAGAGAACUAUGACAUGCUCAUGACUAUGUUGAUAGUGCCAUACUAGUGGCAAGAUUAUCAUGCUAUGUGAUUUAGCUUUACCUUUACAUGUUUACAAUCUAGUGGAUACUAGCUCUUGUUACUAUUUGUGUAUUGAAAUUCCGAUCAGAGGAUCGAGAGUAAGAACUUUGUAAUGAAAAUAUGAAAAUUGUGACAUGUGGACAAUGGACUUUGCUUGCUUGCCAUCGUGCUCAUUCGCACACGCUUGUGAGGGUAGCUCCCUACAAGCCGGCACUCCGGAGUUGGCCUACGCGACAGUUGCUCGCCCGUGCGGGAUUGGGUGCCGAAGUGGAUUGCCGUGGGGAGUGUAUACUACCACGGGGCCAUUAGGCGCGGCGCAAGCUGGACUACCUUGAGUAGAUCCCUGUGAAUGAAAGGAAAGUGCUAAAGAAAAUUGGACAGUAAUGAACGAUUACCAAUUACAGUGUACAGUAGUUACUUACACAUUUAUGCUUAUGUUCAUACUUAUCAUAGUUGCUAUGCUUCUAUUAUUCGGUUGAUUCAUUACUGUUGAAGCCAUGAUUACAUGUUGCUUACAUGCUCAUUACCUGUUAGCAUUGCGUAAUUCUAUAUCAUGCAAUUACUGUUUUUGCUUUCAUUUAGUACAUCAUGAGCCUAGUGGUGUAAUUCGCCGAGGCUGGCGGCUUACCCACUGGGAACUAUUGUUAAUAGUUCUCACGCCCUUUUGGUGGUUGUUUUUUUACAGAACCAUCCGCAGGAGAGGCUAGGGAUCGUGGCAAGGGAGUCGCGUCUAGCUAGACUUUGCUAGGAGCAUGCUAGUCGAUCACCUUGCUACUCGGGCUACGACCGAGGGUGAUGUCCCUUUUGUAUAGAGAAACCACCAUUGUACAGAUAUUUUUGUAUACCCUGUGUUGUAUAUGGAUUGCAGAUCCGGAUGUUAUAGUUCAUACUUCUUCUCCUUUUGCUGAGAUUUUGGACUGUAGUUUCCUUUGUUCUUUUACUGAUAGUAUACAGACUUGUACAUUGCUCUGAUAUCAGGAUAUGACUUUCGUUGUUUCACUUCCUAUCGACUUGUUUUCUUCGUAGACGCCUUAUAUACUGCAGGUGUAUGGCGGGUCUGUGCACGUGCCGGAUAUGCUUCCGCUGGUACCCGGGCGUGACAUCACCCCCCCGGUGCUCGCGCCGUGCGCGCGCCCCACGUCGCGCCUCGCUCUCUCUCUCUCUCUCAUUCUCUUUCUCUUUUUCUCUCUUUGUAAGGACCGAGAUUUUGGCAGUAUAGUUAAACUCUCAGUUGACGAUGUUUAUGUGUGUAAUUUAAUUAUAUAAACACUCGUCAAGUUUCAGGAGAAAAUGAGCUAAAAUGGAGAAGAUACGCGAUUUUUAGUUUUCACUUAAGUGAAUAGUAACUCCGGUUUCCCGGAGAAGCCACGGAGUAGAGUUGGCUUCUGGUGCGUAUCGGACUCCGUUCAUAGCGAUCCAAUAGCUCGUUUUGAUCGGUUUAGUUAUUCUAGAGCUAAUGGCGCUGACGGAUUUUGAGUUUGACGCACGGAUUUCGAGAAAAUCCAAAAAUACGUGUUUUAUAUGUAUUUGUGCGUAGUUUCUUCUGUUGGAGAGAAGAACGGAUUUCGUCGCGAAUCCGUGAUCGUUCGAGGUGAACCAAAAUCGUAGCUUUGUUGUCUCCGAGGUGCUGAUCGCACUGGUGCAAUCUGUUCGCAAAUCUGACGGACGGAUCUGCGGAGAUCACACGUUGAUCAAGGAGAGGUCGGUGAUGGCAAAACGGUAAUUUCGCAAAAGUCGUAAUAUUUUAUGUACCGUUUUAUGUGAAAUCGGAUGUGGAGGUGCUUUAGCGCGUUUUACUCGCGAUGUGAGGGACUCGGAUAGAAUUAUUGUGUCUAUAUGGGCUUUUCCGCAAUUUGGAGCUUGGUAUAUAUAUAGCUCCUAGGGUUUUGAUCCCCUAACCCUAACCUUAGCCAGCCCCCAGCUACCCUAGUCGCCCCUGCUACCUUCACCUUGCUCGCCCGCCCUAGCCGCGCACCCCCGGCCGCCGCCCGAGCAACCACCCUCCUCUUUCCAUCCCUUCUCUCUAUUUCCUCCGGGUUAGGCCUGCCGAGGCUUACAGUGCCUCUGGGUCGGUAGCCGCAUCGUUCCGACCUCGUCGAGUCCUCCCCCCCCGGCACCGCCGCCCGAGCAGCCCGGGAGCGCCGCCGCAGCCGCUCCAGCCGCCUGCAGCUUCCAGACCAAGCCAGGGCCGAGGCAAGCUUUGCAACUUCCAUGCGCGCCGCGCUCGGGCGCACCCGAGACAUCCCUCGACCUCCUGCAACCCUCCUUCCGUCGCCUGAGCUCCAGCCGGCGCCCGUGGGCGCCAUUGCCCCAGUGAACCCGAAGCCCCUAGUUGGUGCGGGCUCGGUUUGCUCCGCCGCCGCGCGGCUUCAGCCACAACCUGAGGUUGAGCACCUGCUCCUCCCCUUCCCCGCACCCAUCGGCGCCGCGCACGCCGCGGCCGCGGAAGCCGCGGAGCCAAGCUUCUCCGGCCAAGCCCGAAUAAGGCUUAAAUUUUUGUGGGUUUUGUUGUUUGAGCUUCCCGAGCCUCCCCGAUCUCUGCGGAAGGGAGCACCAUGAUCGUACCAAAAUGGCUGAUUGCAUCGUGCUCACCUUAAUUAUUCUGCGGGGAAACUCCGUUCCGCUGUUUCGGCGGUGUCGACCUGUCGACUGUUUGGCUGCUGUUUUGGUUUGCGCAUGCUUUAUCGGCGAUCGAGCCUUGUCCUGAAUGACCUCCGGAGGUGAGCACGGGAUCAUUGGUUAGUGCUGAUCACAGUGCUCCACCUCACUUUGAUCAACAAAUGAUCCGGUUAGCCUGUUUUGGCGCGAUCUUCCCCGACCUACGAACUGUUCGCAGAACUUCAGGUUGAUCCCGCGCCUUCCGACCAAUGAGCUGUUGCGCUCCAGACCGUGGAGCACGGCCUCCGCACGUUGAGACCUGUCAGUAUUGUGUCCUCGGCGGACUUAGAAGUCCUCAGUUUUGUGAAGAACGAGUCAUAGGAGGUCGCCGAUUUACAUAAAAUGAUGGAUUUUUAUGUAACACAGGGGCUUUUGUGCAAUUUUACACCUUGGUGGCUACUGUGGGCAGCGUGUAUGGAGUGUGGUUUGAACCCCUGGAACUGAAUUGUCCAUGAUCCUGUAGUUUUUUUUUGCGAAAAUCGAAAAGUCGAUUUCGGUGGUAUUUUUUCGGCGAAAUUCGCCGAAAGAACCGCGGUUUCUCGGUUCAGCUUCUUCCGAUGUGGCUUGGUUUACCCUGUAAAUUAUCCGCUGCAGCCUAUGUUGGCUGGUCCCAUCAUCAAUUUUGUGGGUUCGAGUGAUGAUGGGUGAGCGGAUGGUGGGAUCCGUGUCGAAAAUACGACACUUUCGGGAACCCGAAUUCGUACAAUUAUCCGGCGAUAAUUGUGUAGUGGUGGGUGAUCAUGCGUUUUGGCUGACCAAAAACAUUCCCAAAUUGGAGUGUUUUUGGGGCAGCAGGUGACUCGUGACCACGAGUCGGUGGAAGUUUCGGGCCACUUAGUGGGGUCCGACGGUGUCCCGGUGGUGGUUUUUCGGGACUUCCGGUGAGUAACGAUGAUCGGUUUUUGGGAAACCGAUUCGGGGAUUGUGUGGGGUUUGUGAGAUAGUCGUUUCAGAUGAGUGGGUUUUGGUUACUGACCCGUUUGGACUCGUAGGUCUGGUCGACUUUGUGCCGUACCCAGUGUUCGACGCACAGUGACAGGUGGUGCUCUCGAAAGCCUGGUAGUCGGUGAGAUCGUUUCACCCUUCCUCUUGUUCCUUUCAUAUCAGUAUCGUAGUCUCUACAUGUCAAGUUGAAAUUGUUAUCGCUUGUUUAUCGUAUUCCGUUGAUGUGCAUUUGGUAUAGUUGUGGAAUAGACCUGUAGAAGCAGGCUUGCCACCGUAUAUUGCAUCUCUGUGGACCUUGGUCCCAGGCCAACACAUCGACUCUCUUGUCAUGUGUUUCGAUCUGGUUGAUCAUGGUUCGGCGUUGUACGCCCUUGCACCUGGCUUCGGCCAUGGCACCGGUCUCCUUUUGCCGGUUUUCGUUUUGAGCAUAUCAGUAUGAUUUAGUUACAGCACUGUGUAUUCUAGACACCAGGUUGGUUUGGCCACCAGCCAAGGGUGUACGUAUCCGGAUAGGUCGUCGGUGACGCGUGAAUAAGCUCACAGUGUCUGCUCUGUGACAGGCAACGCUUGAGGCCUGCGGACCAAUAUAGCAGUAUCAGAUUGGGUUUGGUUUUGGACUAUUCACCUUUGAGGCAUCUGAUUAGUUGAGUUUUUAGUUACAGUAGUAGUUUCAUUCUUGCUCAGUUAUUAUCCUGUUUCUAUUACUACUGUAGUUGCUUUUAUAUCAUAUCAUGUUCAUAUCUGUUAUAGCUACUGUAGUUCGUUUUCAUAUAUCAGCAUCUAUAUUUGUUUAUCUAUCUCCUUUGGUUUCCGGUGAUUACGGCUUGCCUUCGUGGCUCUGUCGUACCCACUGAGAAAACCAUGGUUGCGGUUUCUCACCCUCCAUUUCUCCCCAGGUGACAUAGACGAGGAGUUGGAUUUUGGGCUCGAUGAGAGGACGACCUAGCUAGUCUGGUAUAGCGAUCGCCACCCUGGUUGUAUUUCUUCCGCCGCCUUUAGUAGUCAUUUAAAUAAUGGUUCAGUUAGCUGAUCUUUAUGAUUGUUUGAAUAUUGGUGAUCUGGUUUUGGUAGAUCUGUGGAUGCUUUCGUUAUUUAUGCAUGUGAACUGAGGUUUGUGGAUUUGGAUGUUGAUUUUAUGGAUAUCGGAUUUUCUUGUAUUUACAUAUCGUGGUUUUCUAUCCCUCGAGAUAGCUGGUUUUCAAAAUAGAGUUUCCUUGUGGAAAACAGUUUUAAAAAGGUUUUCGAAUGAUUUUCAUGAUGAAUGAAUUAGAGUUUAAAAACAAAAGCUUCCGUGUGGGGAGCACUUUUAAAUAGGAUGAUUGUUGUACUGUACAUCGCAUCAUCCAGCGCCUAAGGAGUGCUUAGAGGCAUGCAUCAUUUCUAAGGAUUGUUAGCUGUAUGAAAAUGCAUAUCAUGAAUUAGUUGUUAAUUGGUAAAUGUAGGUUGUGGUUGUGAUCCUGUUGUAUCCGUUGGUACGCCGUGCAAAUACAAAGGAGACUCUGCCUGAGUGGACAGAGGAACUUUGUAUUUGUGGCGGGUCUGUACGUCACGUUGGCCAGGUUGAAAAAAAAAACUGCGGCCGGCACAUCUUCCGCGACUCUGAGUUUUCAAAAUGAUAAUGGCUUUUAAAAUCGGCCCCGGGGCGUGACACUCUUCCCCCACGUGCGCCCGGGAGGAGGGGGGACCUGCGGCCGGCGCACGCGCCCUCCCGUGCGGCGGGGACCCGCGCCCGCGCACGCCCGUGCGGGGGUGACCUGUGCCCGACGCACGCGCGGGAGGAAGAGAGAGAGAGGGGUAGAGAGAAAGAGAAAGAGAGAGGAGUAGGGAGAGGGAGAGAGGAGGAGGAGUAGGGAGAGGGAGAGAGGAGGAGAGAGAGAGAGAGAGAGCUACGGGGGUGCGCGCGACCUGCGCCCCGUGUGCGCGCACGAGAGAGAGAGAGAGGGAGCCGAGGAGGGGGGUGGAGAGAGAGAGAGAGAGACGAAAAAAAAAAAAUUUGGGGGUCCCGCCGAAGCCCCCGCCAAACGCGGGGAGGCUUCGGAAGGAACUCCGAUUCUAUAUUAUCUAUAGAUUCCACACUAAGAGUCUGUUUGGUUCAAUAUAAAAUAGUAAAAAAUAUUUUUUUGUAGAAAAUUUUUUUAUAUUUGUAGUGUUUGUUUGUAGGAAAAAAAAAGUAGUUUUUUGACAUUUAUUUGGUUGAAAGGGAAAAAAAUUACAUUUAUUUGAUUCGAUGAAAAAAAAUAAAUGAAAAAAAUUUCAUGCAGCUUGAAUUUUUGUUUUGUGCCCAAAAAAGGCAGAAAAUGAAAACUUCAAUGUUUUUCCAGACCAAUAAAAAUCCUUUUAUGAAAAAAAUAUUCUUGGGUCAAAUGAAACAAGCAGAAAAACAUUUUUCAUACUAAAAAUAAUUUUUUAAUUUGUUUUACACCAAACCAAUNUCGUCGCGAAUCCGUGAUCGUUCGAGGUGAACCAAAAUCGUAGCUUUGUUGUCUCCGAGGUGCUGAUCGCACUGGUGCAAUCUGUUCGCAAAUCUGACGGACGGAUCUGCGGAGAUCACACGUUGAUCAAGGAGAGGUCGGUGAUGGCAAAACGGUAAUUUCGCAAAAGUCGUAAUAUUUUAUGUACCGUUUUAUGUGAAAUCGGAUGUGGAGGUGCUUUAGCGCGUUUUACUCGCGAUGUGAGGGACUCGGAUAGAAUUAUUGUGUCUAUAUGGGCUUUUCCGCAAUUUGGAGCUUGGUAUAUAUAUAGCUCCUAGGGUUUUGAUCCCCUAACCCUAACCUUAGCCAGCCCCCAGCUACCCUAGUCGCCCCUGCUACCUUCACCUUGCUCGCCCGCCCUAGCCGCGCACCCCCGGCCGCCGCCGAGCCACCACCCAUCUCUCUUUCCAUCCUUCUCUCUAUUUCCCUCGGGUUAGAGCCUGGCCGAGGCUGCAGUGCCUCUGGGUCCGUAGCCGGCGUCGUCCCGACCUCGUCGGAGUCUCCCCCGCCGGCCACCGCCGCCCCGAGUCGCCCGGAGCGCCGCCGCAGCCGCUCCAGCCGCCUGCAGCUUCCCAGACCGAGCCAGGCCGAGGCAAGCUUGCAGCCCUUCCCUCGCGCCGCCGCCGCUCGGGGCCGCACCCGAGACAUCCCUCCGACCUCCUGCAACCCUCCUUCGUCGCCCCUGAGCCUCCCGCCGGCCGCCGUGGCCGCCAUUGCCCGUGAACCCGAGCCCUAGUUGGUGCGGGCUCGGUUUGCUCCGCCGCCGCCGCCGCCGCUUCCAGCCACCACCUGAGGUGAGCACCUUGCUCCUCCCCUCCCCCGCACCCAUCCCUGGCCGCCGCGCACGCCGCCGUGCCGCCGGAAGCCGGCCGGAGCAAGCUUGCUCCGGCCAAGCCCGAAAUAGGGCUUAUUUUGGAUGGGUUUGUGUUCUGAGCUUCCCGAGCCUCCCCGAUCUCUGCGGAAGGGAGCACCAUGAUCGUAUCAAAUUGCUGAUCAUCGUGCUCACCUUAUAUUCUGCCGGGGAAACUCCGUUCCGCUGUUUCGGCGGUGUCGACCCUGUCGACCUGUUUGGCUGCUGUUUUGGGUUUGCGCAUGCUUAUCCGGCGAUCCGAGGCUGUCCUGAUGACUCCGGAGGUGAGCACGGUGAUCAUUGGUUAGUGCUGAUCACAGUGCUCACCUCACUUUGGAUCAACAAUGUCCGGUUAGCCCUGUUUGGCGCGAUCUUCCCCGACUACGCACUGUUCGCAGAACUUCAGGUUGCUCCCGCGCUUCCCACAAUGAGCUGUUGCGCUCCAGACCGUGAGCACGGCCUCCGGCACGUUGAGACCUGUCAGUAUGUGUCUCGGCGGAACUUAGAAGUCCUCAGUUUGUGAGAACGAGUCAUAGGAGUCGCCCGAUUUACAUAAAAUGAUGGAUUUUAUGUAAACACAGGGGCUUUUGUGCAAUUUUACACCUUGUGGCUACUGUGGGCAGCGUGUAUGAGUGUGUUUGACCCCUGGACUGAUUGUCCAUGAUCCUGUAGUUUUUGCGAAAAUCGAAAAGUCGAUUUCGGUGUAUUUUUCGGCGAAAUUCGCCGAAAGAACGCGGUUUCGGUUCAGACUUCUUCCGAUGUGGCUUGGUUACCCUGUAAAUUAUCGCUGAGCCUUGUUGGCUGGUCACCAUCAUCAUUUUGUGGGUUCGAUGAUGAUGGGUGAGCGAUGGUGGAUUCCGGUGUCGAAAUAGACACUUUCGGGAACCCGGAUUCGUACAAUUAUCCGGCGAUAAUUGUGUAGUGGUGUGAUCAUGCGUUUGCUGCCAAAACAUCCAAAUUGGAGUGUUUUGGGGCAGCAGGUGACUCGUGACACGAGUCGGUGAGUUUCGGGCCACUUAGUGGGUCCCGACGGUGUCCCGGUGUGGUUUUCGGGACUUCCGGUGAGUUACGAUGAUCGGUUUUGGGAAACCGAUUCGGGGAUCUGUGUGGGGGUUUGUGAGAUAGUGUACUUCAGAUGAGUGGGUUGGUUACUGACCCGUUGGAUCUUCGUAGGUCUGGUCGACUUGUGCGUACCCAGUGUUUCGACGCGACAGUGACAGGUGGGUGCUUCGAGCUGGUAGUCGGUGAGAUCGUUUCACCCUUCCUCUGUUCUUUCAUAUCAGUAUCGUAGUCUCUACAUGUCAGUUGAUUGUUAUCGCUUGUUUAUCGUAUUCCGUUGAUUGCAUUUGUAUAGUUGUGGAUAGACAUGUAGAGCAGGCUUGCACUCGUAUAUUGCAUCUCUGUGGACCUUGGGUCCAGGCAACACAUCGACUCUCUUGUCAUGUGUUUCGAUCUGGUUGAUCGUGGUUCGGCGUUGUACGCCCUUGCACCUGGCUUCGGCCAUGGCACCGGGAGAAGAGAGAUCGGGAACCCGUCCCUGUUUCGGCGCGGGUGACCCUGUCGACACUGUUUGGCUGCUGUUUGGUUGCCAUGCCUUAUCGGCAUCCGAGCUGUCCUGAUGACUCGGAGGUAGCACGUUCAUUGGUUUGCGAGGGCGAGCGGGGAGGCUACCUCACUUUGGAUCAACAAUCCGGUUAGCCUGUUUCGGCGAUCUUCCCGAUUUUCCUCUAACGCCUGUUCCAGGAACUCCAGGCUUCCUCCGCGCUUCCCACAAUGAGCUUGCGCUCGCAGACCGUGAACACGCUUCGGCACUUGAUACCCUGUCAGUAUGAUGUCUCGGCGGAACUUAAGGAAGUCCUCAGUUUGUGAGAACGAGUCAUAGAGUCGCCCGAAUUUACAUAAAAAUGAUGGAUUUUAUGGUAAACACAGGGCUUGUGCAAUUUUAAACACCUUGUGUAUGUGGGCAGCGUGUAAUGAGUGUGUUUGACGCCGCUGGACUGAUUGUCCAUAUCCUUAUUUUUUUUGCAAAAUGAAAUAAGCUCGUUUCGGUGUAUUUUUCCGGCGAGAAUCGGCCGAAAGAACCGGUUUCGGUUCAACUUCUUCGAUGUGGCUUGUUCGCCGUAAAUUAUCGCCUGAUCCUUGUUGGUGGUCACCAAUCAUCAUUUUGUGGGUUCGAUGAUGAUGGUGAGCGAGGUGAUUGCUCGGUCGUCCGAAAAUAGAACUUUCGGGAAGCGGAUUCGUACAAUUAUCCGGCAUAUGUGUAGUGUGUGAUCAUGCGUUUGCUGCCAAAAACAUCCAAAUUGGAUGUUUUGGGCAGCAGGGUUGACUGUCGUGCCACGAGUCGGUGAGUUUCGGGCCACUUAGUGGUGACGGUUCCGUGUGGUUUUCGACUUUCCGGUGAUUACGAUGAUCGGUUUUGGGAAACCGAUUCGGGGAUCCUGCGUGCUGGUUUGGAGAUAGUUAGCGUCAGAUAGUGGGAUGGUUAUGACCCGUUGGAUCUCGAGAGUCUGGUCGACUUGUGCGUACCUCCAGUGCUUCGACGCGACAGUGACAGUGGGUGCUUCGAGCUGGUAUCGAUUUGUGAAGAUCGUCACCCUUCCUCUGUUACUUUCAUAUGCAUAUCGGUAUCUCUACAUUCAGUUAUUGUUAUCGCUUGUUUACCGAUUCCGUUGAUUGCAUUGUAUAUUGUGGAUAGACAUGUAGAGCAUGGCUUGCCACUCUGCUAUAUUGCAUCUCUGUGGACCUUUGGUCAGGCACACAGUCGACUCUCUUGUCAUGUGUUUUCGAAUCUAGGUUGAUCAUGGUCGGCGUUGUAUCCCCUUGCAACCUGGCUUCGGCCAUGCACCGUCUUCCUGUUGCCGGUUUUCGUUUUGAGCAUAUCAUAUGUAUUAGUUACGCGAGCACUGUGUAUCUUAGACACACCGAGGUUGGUUUGGCCACCCAGCCAAGGAGUGUUACGUAUCUCGAUAGGUCGUCGGUGACGCGUGAAAUAAGCUCACAGUGUCUGCUCUGUGACACACGCUUGAGGGCGACUUCGCGGACAGUCAAUAUAGCAGUAUCAGAUUGUUUUGUUUUGGACUAUUCAUAUUUGAGGGCAUCUAUUAUUUAGUUUGUAGUUACAGUCAGUAUUUCAUUCUGGCUCAGUCUAUUAUCCUGUUUCUAUUACUACCUGUAGUUGCUUUUAUAUCAUAUAUCAUGUUCAUAAUCUUUUAUAGCUACUGUACGUUCGUUUUCAUAUAUCGAGGCAUCUCUAUUUGUUUAUACUAAUCUCCUUUGGUUUCCCGGUGAUUAACGGUCUUGCUUCGUGGCUCUGUCGUACCACUGAGAAAACCAUGUUGCUGGUUUCCUCACCCCCAUCAUUCUCCCCAGGCUGACAUAGACGAGGAAGCUUGGAUUUUGGGCUCGAAUGAUAGGCACGACCUAGCUAUCUGGUAUAAGCGAUCGCCACCCUGGUUGUAUUUCUUCCGCCGCCUUAGGUAGCUCCAUUUAAUAAUGGUCAGUUAGCGAUUCUUUGGUAAUGAUGUUUGAAUAUUGGGAUCUGGUUUGGUAGAUUAGUGAUGCUUUCGUUAUUAUGCCAUGUGAACUGAGGUUUGUGGAUUUGGAUGUUGAUCUUUAUUGAUAUCGGAUUUUCUUGUAUUUAACAUAUCGUGGUUUUCUUCUCCUCGAGAUAGCUGGUUUUCAAAAUACGAGUUCCUUGUGAAACAGUUCUUAAAUAAGGUUUUCGAAUGAUUUAUUCAUGAUGAAUGAAUUAGAGUUUAAUAAAUCAAAAGCUUCGUGUGGGGGAGCCACUUUUAAAUAGGAUGAUUGUCUGUACUGUACAUCCAUCAUCCGCGACCUAAGGAGUGCUUGGCAUGCAUCAUUGAUUCUAAGGAUUGUUAGCUGUAUAUGAAGAAUGCAUAUCAUCGAAUUAGUUGUUAAUUUGGUAAAUGUAGGCUUGUGUUGUGAUUCCUGUUGUAUCCGUUGGUACGUCGUAAUAACAAAAUUGAGACUCGCCUGAUGGACAGAGGAACGUGUAUUUGGGGCGUCUGUACGUCACGUUGGCCAGGUUGAAAAAAAAAAAAAAAAAGGCACAUUCAUUCCGCGACUCUGAAGUUCAGAAUAUGAUAAUGGCUUUUAAACCAUCGCCCGGGGCGUGCACUUUUCCCCACGUGCGCCCGGGAGGUAGGGCGGGACUGGCCGCGCACGCGCCUCCGUCUGGCGGGACCCCUGCGCGCGCACCGCCCAGUGCGGGGGGUGCCUGUGCCGCAGCCACUGCGUCCGGGAGCGAUCGAGAUGAGAGAGGGUAGAAGAGCAAAGAGAAAGAGAGAUUGAGUAGGGAGAGGGAGAGAGGAGGAGGAGUAGGGAGACGCGGAGAGCAGGAGGAGAGAGAUGAGAGAGAGAGCCUACGGGGUGCGCCGCAGACCUGCGCCCGCGUGGCGCGACGGAGCAGAGAGAGGGAGCGAGGAGGGUGGGGGAUGAGAGAAGAGAGNNNNNNNNNNNNNNNNNNNNNNNNNUUCUCUUUGCCGGUUUUUUUGAGAUCAUCAGCCAUGAUUAUUAUGUAAGCACUGUUCAUUCUAGAACACCAGGUUUGUUUGCACCAGCCAAGGACUGUAGUAUCGGAUAGGCGUCGUGUACCUACACGUGAAUAGCUCACCAGUGUUUUGCUCAUGUGACAGACAACGCCAUUGAGUGAUCUGCGAACCAACUUUAUCAGCAGUAGGUCAUGAUUGGAGUUUGGUUUUGGACUAUUACCCUUGAGGCAAUACUUGAUCAUUUGAGUUUUGCUGGUUACAGUAGAUAGUGUUCUAUUCUUACUCAGUUAUUAUUCCUAUUUCUAUACUAUGUAGUUGCUUUUAUAUACAUAUCAUGUCAUAUCUGUUAUAGCAUACGUAAGUUCGCUUUCAUAUUAAUGCAAGCAUCUAUAUUUUUUAUCUAUCUCCUUUGAUUCCGUUGUUUACGGUUUUGCUAUUCGUGCGCAAUCUGUCCGAUACCCAUGAGAUAAACCUGGUUUGGUUCUCAACCCCUCAUUCCCCCCAGCGUGACAUAGCUGAUGAGGUAUGUUUUUUCCGGGCUCGACGCAUCGAGGUAACGAUCUAGCUAGUUGGCAUAUAGCUGAUCGCCACCCUGGUUUGUCAUUUCUUCCCCGCUUAGUAGUCAUUUUAAAUAAAUGUUCAGUUACGCUGCUCUUUAUGAUUGUUUGAAUGUUGGUGAUCUGUUUGGUGGGUAGUAUCUGGGGAUUUCGUCGUUUGUUAUUUUAGCAUAGUGAUUGAUCUUGAGUGUGUGGAUUUGGAUGUUGUUUAGGAUAUCGAUUUUCUUAUAUUUAAAUAUCGUGGUUUGCUACUCGAGGUAGCUAGUUUUCAAAACAGAGUUUCCUAUUGUGGAAACAGUUUUAUAAAAGGUUUUUCGAAUUAGAUUUUCAUAGAUGAUGAAUUAGAGGUUUUAAAACAAAAGCUUCCGACGAUGUGGGCAGCACUUUUAAUAGGAUGAUUGUGUGUACUGUGCCACUCGCAUAUCCAGCGCCUGAAGGAGUGCUUAAGCCAUGCAUCAUUUCUAGGAUGUUAGCCUGUAUGAAAAUGUCCAUAUCAUUGAAUUGGUUUGUUAGAUUGGAAUGUUAGGUUGUGUGUGUGUCCUGUUGUUCAUCCGUUGGCACGCGCUGCAAAUAUAAAGGAGACUUUGCCCGACCGUGCGACAGAGAAACUUUGUAUUUGUGGGGCCGUCUGUACGUCGUGGCAGGGUUGAAAAAAAAAAUAAGGCACAUCUUCCUGCGACUCUCGCACGUUUAUUUCAAAAUAUACAUGCGCUUUUAAAAUCGGACUGACAUCGCUCCGUCAGUGCAAUCACACACAGCCCAGAUCACCAGGCGAUGAGGACUCGUCUCGUAGCCCGUCAAUCCAGACCCUGGCAGCACGAGACUCGCCACACAUGUCCGGCUGUCGUGAACCGGUCCUCUAUUACCAAAUAUAACGACCCCCCCAGCCUGGCUCAGCCGAGACCGCCGACAAUGUCCAGCUGGCUGAACCGUCUUUGAUACACAAAUAUAACGACCAGCCCUCUACUAGCCAAUAUACUUGGCUAAAGCAUUUUUUUGGGCGGUGAUUGGGCCCAACGAUUAUUAUGCUAGUGGACAAUGGUCGUACAUUUGUUUUAUGGGAAAAAUAGUGCGGCGGAAGAAGAAAUAACCAACAAUAACCCAGAUCAAAUGAGGAGUAUUUGCAAUUAAAUCUUUGUAAAACAUAGGUUUUAGCAAUAAUAUUGCCGUAGUAUGCAUGGAUUUAUUUUUCAGCUAUUUACAAAUGAAUCUUCAAGCAUAUCCAAUAUUAAAAUCAAACAAAAAUAUAAAAUAACUUUUUACCCAGGAAUCCGUAUUUUGGUCGGGAAAAGUAAAAAAAAACCAAUAAAUGUCUUAAUUGAAGAAAAACUUGUAAAAAAAAAUUAAUAUUAGAAUCACAAAUUUUGCAGUAAAAUACAGUGGAUGCUCGGACGAAAGCAUGUAUUUAAUUUAGGAGCAUUGCAUCUAUGAACAAAGGACAGUCAAGCCAAAUUUCUUUGCACUCUAUCAUCAGUCCCAAGAAAAUAGCAUUAAUCAAAAUUAGUACUAAUAUACAAUGUAAGAGAAAAUAUAAUUAAAAAGAUCAAUAUCAACGAUCAUAGAAACGCAGCAGAAUCAUUAUUUCAUGUUCUUUAUAAAUGCAUCAAAAAAGUAAGGCUCCAAGUCAGUACGAAUCCGCAGCUCGCAUCAUAAGUAACAGGUAGUAGUAAGGAACAACAAACCACCAUUGUCAGAGAAGUGCGAGAACAACAAGGAUAACAUACAUAGGGAUAAUGGAUGCUAAAGUAUUUACUCAUUCGGGGAAAUGCGUUGUGCUAAUCACUAAGUAAUAACAAUAGUAGAGAAGUGGUUGCUAUAGUUACGGCGUUGCCAAACUUCCACCCGUUUCGAAGUGCAUAUUUCCCACUUUCCUCUACUUUAUCAAUCAUAGCUUUAAAGAAAGCCACAGAAUAAUCAAGAAGAACAGCAAGGAAUAAAUAGAGAUGAAAGUAAUAAUAGGAAAUAACAACUUGUAGCAACAUUUAAUCUUGAAAGAAGAUAGAAAUAGUAAUAAUACUUAAGCAAGACCAAAUAAAGUUGCAAAAAAAAACUUAAAAACUGUUGCCACAAUGAUACGUCCCUCAGCCUAGCUCCAUUGAAGGGAAAUUUAAUUUAAAUAGUCACAUAUAGCAAGAACCAUACAAACCAAGUAUUAAUUUAUAAUAUAAUUGCUUCAUGAAAAAUGACGGUAGAGGGGUUGGGGACAAAGAGGAGAACAAUUAAACAAUCUUUAAAACAUGGCCCAAAAGCAAAGACUCAGUUAAGGACGGGAGCGGGCACACUGCUAUAAGCAGCAGGACCCGGCCACAGUAGGAAUAGCAGGCGUACAAUGAAGGCAAAAGCGCACAACAACACAAGGUAAGCAAUGGUAGGAAAUGGUUGCUGAGCCAGUAAUUACAAUGAAGGAACGUGGUGCAAUCAUAAUUGAAGAACAACCGUUAGAAGCGGUUUGGCCUAUGAGUAAGGCACCAAAUUCGCACUCCGAAUAUUCAAAACCGUAUCUGUUCGAAGCAAUAUUUUCGCAAUUCCCUCUAUAUCUAAUCAUCAUACCGUUAACGAAGAGCAGAAAUAGAAAGAACGCAAGAAUUAAUAUGAAUCCAAGUAGAACAUUCAAGAGAUCAGCCAUCAUAGUAUGCAGGAAAAUAGAGUGAAAUUUUAACAACAUACUUCAGACCGAGCAGAUGACAAUUUUACCAAGCUAGGCUUAUUUACACAAUAGAUAUGAACAGCAACAGAACUCAGCGCCAGACAACAGCAAGCUACAGAGACGAAAAAAAAAAAAUUUGGGGGUCCCGCCGAAGCCCCCGCCAAACGCGGGGAGGCUUCGGAAGGAACUCCGAUUCUAUAUUAUCUAUAGAUUCCACACUAAGAGUCUGUUUGGUUCAAUAUAAAAUAGUAAAAAAUAUUUUUUUGUAGAAAAUUUUUUUAUAUUUGUAGUGUUUGUUUGUAGGAAAAAAAAAGUAGUUUUUUGACAUUUAUUUGGUUGAAAGGGAAAAAAAUUACAUUUAUUUGAUUCGAUGAAAAAAAAUAAAUGAAAAAAAUUUCAUGCAGCUUGAAUUUUUGUUUUGUGCCCAAAAAAGGCAGAAAAUGAAAACUUCAAUGUUUUUCCAGACCAAUAAAAAUCCUUUUAUGAAAAAAAUAUUCUUGGGUCAAAUGAAACAAGCAGAAAAACAUUUUUCAUACUAAAAAUAAUUUUUUAAUUUGUUUUACACCAAACCAAUCGAUCUCCCACAAACCAAAAUAAAAAAAAAGAAAUUAUGGGGUUGAGCUACGUAUUAUCAAGCUCUUUGAGCUAUAAUUAAUGUUAAAUGAUACAAUAUUCAAUUUAACAAUAAAUUCUGUUAAACAUGAUACAAAUUACGUGAACACUUUAGAAAAAAAAUUUCAUAACUUAAAAUAUUUAUUUUUUAGAUCAUUAUGUAACUACCUAGCCCACUAGCAACAACAAACUCGUUGGGCCCAACAACCGGCCUAAAAUGCUUAAGCUCAGUUAUUAUUACUAGUGUCUAAGUCUAUUAUAUACCCAAUCACAUCACCAUUCCUAUCCGAUAUGGGAUUAUUGGGGUGUGACACAUUAGCUCAUCAAAAAAUGAACAAUAAAAUUGAACAACUUCCUAAAAAUAAGGGAUAGAAAUCUGAAAUUCAAGGCCAGUGUUAUAAAUUUUGUUUGAUGUAGGUGAAGAAAUUUUUCUUUCGAAAACUCAGCCAACGUGGAUUAUCUUAUACUGCUAAACAAAAAAAAAAAACCCUCUUGCAAUCCAUCAAAAUUAACACCUUAAAUGAUCCCCUAGAUAUUAAGUAAAUAAAAUUGAAAAAAUGAAAUUCACAAUAUAUAAAAUUCAUUAUCCCAUACAUCAUAUUUAACCAUGUUAAAUAUCGUAUCGAAUCUUUAAUUAUUAAGAGUAACUUAAUAGAGAAAAGAACUUAAUGCUAUUAAUAGUAGCGAAGUCUUAUGUUUUAGGCCUUUUACAAACAAUUCUAUCAGGAUUACAAGCAAUCCCGUUUGGUUCGGGUUAUCCUGCUAGGAUUACAAGCAAUCCUGUGAGAAUUACUGUGUUUGGUUCAUCCGGUAUGUAAUCGAAUCGGUAAUGUAGCAAUGCAAAUGGUGCAGAAUUAUACUAAAAAUAUUAACGAGAUGAGGGGUGUGUAUCUUUGAGUGCUGAAAGCCAGUAAUACUGCAUAUUAUGUAAAAUAACAAUUUUACCCCUCAAACUCUCAAAACCUUUUCAAUACGUCAUUUUAAAAAAUUUAAUUUAAAAUUUUGAAUCAUUAGCUUUUAAAUUUUAAAUUUUGACUUUUAAUUUUAAAUUUCAAAUUUUUAAUUUUUAAAUUUCUAAACAUCAAAUUUAUAUUUUUAAUUUUAAAUUUCAAUUUAAAUUUUAGAUUUUAAAUUUUAAAUUCUAAAUUUUAAUUUUUAAUUUUUAAUUUUUAAUUUUAAAUUNAAUUUAUAUUUUUGUUCAAAUUUAAAUUUUAAAAUUAAAUUUUAAAUUUAAAAAAAUUAAAUUAUUUUAAAAAAGGUUUGUCUAAGGGCAAUUUUGGAAUAGACAAUACUUUAUUGUCUAAAUUACUGAAUUUUAUAGACAAAACCAAACAUAGUAAUGCUAUAAACACUGCAAUCCAGCAUUACAUUAUUGUAUUAAACCAAACGCGCUAAUGCAGCAUAAGUAGUAAUUUCAUUUGGAAAUUCAAAAUACCUAGAUAUAUCGAAAUACUCUGUAAUAUUUUGUUGAUAUGUUACCAAUUAUAAUAUGAAGACUUUUGAUUAGGCCGGUCGAAAAAUAAAAAAAAGGGUUGAUAUUAUCAAGAAAAUUAGGUAUUUACUGUCACACCCCGGGGUCCAUUUUUGUUUGAAACACAGCGAAAAAGCGUCUAAAUUUUUUUUGAAAAUUUGACCCCAGGGUAUGCCAGAUCUGCCACAAAUACAGAAAAUCCACUGUUCACACGAACAGAGUCUCCCCUGUAUUUGUACGGCGUCGCACAAGUACAACGAGUAAACCGGAUACAAUCACAACUAAAUGAAUAUAGAGAUAACUAUACAUUCAUACAUUCACCAUUCACAUCCCAGAUUUACUUUCAAUGUCCAAACAUAAAUACACAGAAAACCCUUUUGAAAGCUGUUCCCUAUACGAAAAUUUUUAUCUUUUAAAAACGCUACCACGAGAGUAGAAAACCUUUUAUUUACGAAAACCAUAAAUCCUUUUCAUUUCACAAAAUUCACAAAUCCAUUUAUUACAUUCAUGAAAACCCACAUUUUCAAAUGUAAUAAAACUACUAAACCAUAUAAACUAUCUAAGCUAUAUCAACAGAAUAGUAGGGGUAGAAACUAAACCGAUUAAGCUAGGUCGGAAGCUCUAUCGACUGCUACGUACGUAUCUCACGUCUUGUCUCAACCCUCACUGCCCGCGAUACCUGAAAAAUAGUGGGGGAAGUGAGAACAUGUAAACAUGUCUCCCCUCCCAGUGGGUACCGCAAGCCGAUGAAGGCGAGGAGUACUCACCGGAUCAGGAAGAGCUAAACAACAGUACGGGUCAGUGGAAAUACAGUAGCAAUAAUAAUGAACGAAUGAAACAUAUAUGUAAAUAAAAGUACAACUACCGCUACUGUAAUGAACAACUGAAUGUAUACAUGCAACAAAACUAUAGUAGCAAGACAACUGUAAAGAAGGAACGGUAAGUAUACAUGCAACAACCGCUACUAUAGUCAUAUGCGUCAACCGGACAAGAAGUCCAAAUAUACCCAAUCUGGUACCUGCUAUAUUGGUCCCCAGACCUCAAGCGCUGCCUGUCACUAACCUGCACCGACCUGAUUCACCCGCCCCACAGGACGACCCAUCCGGAUAAGCACACCUCCGGUCAGUGGCCAAACCGACCCAGUGUCGUGAAUACCCCCAAGUGCUGUGACUAAAUCAUGCUAGUAUGCUCAAUAUAAAAACCGGCUGAAGCCGGUGCCUGGGCCGAAGCCAGAAACAAGGGCGUACAACGCCGAACCACGAUCAACCAGAUCGAAACACAUGACAAGAGAAUCGAUGUGUUGCCUGGACCCAAGGUCCACAGAGUCCAACUGACUAACAAGGUCACUGAUACGAAGUACGAGAACCGACCAACCAGGUCAACAGAUACGGAAUGCAACAACCAACCAACUAGGUCAACAGAUACGGAAUGCAAUGACCAACCAACUAGGUCAACAGAUACGGAAUG